This 496-nucleotide ribosomal RNA is filed under the name uncultured bacterium. RNAcentral's name for it is "partial 16S ribosomal RNA". It matches the Rfam family "Bacterial small subunit ribosomal RNA", at positions 30 to 523 of the family's 1533-position model. The record is from RNAcentral.
AUUGAACGCUGGCGGAAUGCUUUACACAUGCAAGUCGAACGGUAGAGGGGGCAACCCCUCGAGAGUGGCGAACGGGUGAGUAAUAUAUCGGAACGUGCCCAGUCGUGGGGGAUAACGUAGCGAAAGUUACGCUAAUACCGCAUACGAUCUAAGGAUGAAAGCGGGGGAUCGCAAGACCUCGCGCGAUUGGAGCGGCCGAUAUCAGAUUAGGUAGUUGGUGGGGUAAAGGCUCACCAAGCCAACGAUCUGUAGCUGUUCUGAGAGGACGACCAGCCACACUGGAACGGAGACACGGUCCAGACUCCUACGGGAGGCAGCAGUGGGGAAUUUUGGACAAUGGACGCAAGUCUGAUCCAGCCAUUCCGCGUGCAGGAUGAAGGCCCUCGGGUUGUAAACUGCUUUUGUACGGAACGAAAAGGUCUCUCUUAAUACGGGGGGCUCAUGACGGUACCGUAAGAAUGAGCACCGGCUAACUACGUGCCAGCCGCCGCCGUAA